This 247-nucleotide ribosomal RNA is filed under the name uncultured bacterium. Its description in RNAcentral is "partial 16S ribosomal RNA". It matches the Rfam family "Bacterial small subunit ribosomal RNA", at positions 523 to 769 of the family's 1533-position model. The record is from RNAcentral.
AUACGGAGGAUCCGAGCGUUAUCCGGAUUUAUUGGGUUUAAAGGGAGCGUAGGUUGACGUAUAAGUCAGCUGUGAAAGUUUACGGCUCAACCGUGAAAUUGCAGUUGAUACUGUAUGUCUUGAGUGUACAAGAGGUGGGCGGAAUUCGUGGUGUAGCGGUGAAGUGCUUAGAUAUCACGAAGAACUCCAAUUGCGAAGGCAGCUCACUGGGGUACAACUGACACUGAGGCUCGAAAGUGUAGGUAUC